This 450-nucleotide ribosomal RNA is filed under the name uncultured bacterium. RNAcentral's name for it is "partial 16S ribosomal RNA". It matches the Rfam family "Bacterial small subunit ribosomal RNA", at positions 354 to 796 of the family's 1533-position model. The record is from RNAcentral.
GUCGAGAAUAAUUCACAAUGGACGAAAGUCUGAUGGUGCAACGCCGCGUGGAGGAUGACGGUCUUCGGAUUGUAAACUCCUGUCAUCCGGGAGUAAGACCUGGCUGUGAAUAGCAGACAGGGUUGAUAGUACCGGAAGAGGAAGGGACGGCUAACUUCGUGCCAGCAGCCGCGGUAAUACGAAGGUCCCGAGCGUUGUUCGGAAUCACUGGGCGUAAAGGGAGCGUAGGCGGCGUGGUAAGUCAGAUGUGAAAUCCCGGGGCUCAACCCCGGAACUGCAUCCGAUACUGCCGUGCUAGAGGAGUGGAGAGGUAGCUGGAAUUCUUGGUGUAGCAGUGAAAUGCGUGGAGAUCAAGAGGAACACUCGUGGCGAAAGCGAGCUACUGGACAAUAUCUGACGCUGAGGCUCGAAGGCCAGGGUAGCGAAAGGGAUUAGAUACCCUUGUAGUCC